AACGAACGCUGGCGGCAUGCCUAACACAUGCAAGUCGAACGAGACCUUCGGGUCUAGUGGCGCACGGGUGCGUAACGCGUGGGAACCUGCCCUUAGGUUCGGAAUAACUCCCCGAAAGGGGUGCUAAUACCGGAUAAUGUCUUCGGACCAAAGAUUUAUCGUCUUUGGAUGGGCCCGCGUUGGAUUAGCUAGUUGGUAGGGUAAAAGCCUACCAAGGCGACGAUCCAUAGCUGGUCUGAGAGGAUGAUCAGCCACACUGGGACUGAGACACGGCCCAGACUCCUACGGGAAGCAGCAGUGGGGAAUAUUGGACAAUGGGCGAAAGCCUGAUCCAGCAAUGCCGCGUGAGUGAUGAAGGCCUUAGGGUUGUAAAGCUCUUUUACCCGGGAUGAUAAUGACAGUACCGGGAGAAUAAGCUCCGGCUAACUCCGUG
Molecule: ribosomal RNA, 433 nt
Filed under: uncultured bacterium
Lineage: Bacteria
Description: partial 16S ribosomal RNA
Rfam family: Bacterial small subunit ribosomal RNA
Source: RNAcentral